This 496-nucleotide ribosomal RNA is filed under the name uncultured bacterium. RNAcentral describes it as "bacterial SSU rRNA". It matches the Rfam family "Bacterial small subunit ribosomal RNA", at positions 50 to 518 of the family's 1533-position model. The record is from RNAcentral.
AAUACAUGCAAGUCGAACGGUCUUUCUAUGGAAGCUUGCUUCCACUGAGAAGAUAGUGGCGAACGGGUGAGUAACACGUGGGUAACCUGCCCAUAAGAGGGGGAGUAACAUCCGGAAACGGGUGCUAAUACCGCAUAGUUUUCUUGAUCGCAUGAUCGGGAAAGGAAAGACGGCCUUUGUGCUGUCGCUUAUGGAUGGACCCGCGGCGUAUUAGUUAGUUGGUGAGGUAAUGGCUCACCAAGACGAUGAUACGUAGCCGACCUGAGAGGGUGAUCGGCCACAAUGGAACUGAGAAACGGUCCAUACUCCUACGGGAGGCAGCAGUAGGGAGUUUUCGGCAAUGGGGGAAACCCUGACCGAGCAACGCCGCGUGAGCGAUGAAAGGUCUUCGGAUUGUAAAGCUCUGUUGUAGGGGACGAAUGGCAAGGAGAGGAAAUGCUCUUUGCUUGACGGUACUCUACCAGAAAGCCACGGCUAACUACGUGCCAGCCGCGGC